ACGGCCUACCAAGGCGACGACGGGUAGCCGGCCUGAGAGGGUGUCCGGCCACACUGGGACUGAGAUACGGCCCAGACUCCUACGGGAGGCAGCAGUGGGGAAUAUUGCACAAUGGGCGCAAGCCUGAUGCAGCGACGCCGCGUGGGGGAUGACGGCCUUCGGGUUGUAAACCUCUUUCACCAUCGACGAAGGUCCGGGUUCUCUCGGAUUGACGGUAGGUGGAGAAGAAGCACCGGCCAACUACGUGCCAGCAGCCGCGGUAAUACGUAGGGUGCGAGCGUUGUCCGGAAUUACUGGGCGUAAAGAGCUCGUAGGUGGUUUGUCGCGUUGUUCGUGAAAUCUCACGGCUUAACUGUGAGCGUGCGGGCGAUACGGGCAGACUAGAGUACUGCAGGGGAGACUGGAAUUCCUGGUGUAGCGGUGGAAUGCGCAGAUAUCAGGAGGAACACCGGUGGCGAAGGCGGGUCUCUGGGCAGUAACUGACGCUGAGGAGCGAAAGCGUGGGGAGCGAACAGGAUUAGAUACCCUGGUAGUCCACGCCGUAAACGGUGGGUACUAGGUGUGGGUUUCCUUCCUUGGGAUCCGUGCCGUAGCUAACGCAUUAAGUACCCCGCCUGGGGAGUACGGCCGCAAGGCUAAAACUCAAAGGAAUUGACGGGGGCCCGCACAAGCGGCGGAGCAUGUGGAUUAAUUCGAUGCAACGCGAAGAACCUA
RNAcentral lists this ribosomal RNA (714 nucleotides) under Mycobacterium tuberculosis. RNAcentral describes it as "bacterial SSU rRNA". It matches the Rfam family "Bacterial small subunit ribosomal RNA", at positions 260 to 972 of the family's 1533-position model. Lineage: Bacteria; Bacillati; Actinomycetota; Actinomycetes; Mycobacteriales; Mycobacteriaceae. The record is from RNAcentral.